GCUAUGUACUUUUUGCUUAAUUCGUAUUAACCUAAUAAAAACUGAUAAAAUAAAAAUUUAGUAAUUUUUUUUUAUAUGUAAUUAAUACGUUAAAUGCAGAUUAAAUAAUAUACAUUAAUGAUGGUUAAUGUAUACAACUAAUUAAAAUUACAACUACAAUUGAAAACAGAGUUUCCUUUCAUUGUAAGAGAUCAUUUUUCCGUUUUUGAAGACAUUUUUCUUGAUGAGCCACCAGAUUUCGAUGCUAUUGCUGACCAGAUUAUUUCUAUUCCCUUUUCAUGUUUUGCCGAAGAAAAAGGCAGUUUGGUUCAGAUGCUUCCUCAGGACGCUGUAGCUUUUAAAACAUAUAGAAUCCCACACGGACUCCUAAAUUCGGAUCUCUUUAAAAAAUCUGUUUAUUAAUGAUCGCAACUAGAGCAAAAGUACUGGAAACUAUUUGGAACACUUCAGGCCGUGAAAUCCUACGUGAAACUGCAAAAAAGAUUUUAUU
Molecule: long non-coding RNA, 490 nt
Organism: Hydra vulgaris (swiftwater hydra)
Lineage: Eukaryota; Metazoa; Cnidaria; Hydrozoa; Anthoathecata; Hydridae
Source: RefSeq, a predicted model, not a curated record